Long non-coding RNA from Oncorhynchus tshawytscha (Chinook salmon), 1510 nucleotides. The record is from Ensembl. Lineage: Eukaryota; Metazoa; Chordata; Actinopteri; Salmoniformes; Salmonidae.
CAGGUAUCAUCAUAUCUACCUGUAUGUGAGGUGUAGCUGGGUCACGUCAGAGUAGGUAUCAUAAAGAUUCUCCAGGGACGUCUGCCCCAAUACAGCCCCUCAGGUUCCCCUCUGACUGCCCUGGAAAGGGUUGUGUUGUCCCAAUGCUGCCCUGGAAAGGGUUGUGUUGUCCCAAUCUUGCCCUGGAAAGGGUUGUGUUGUCCCAAUGCUGCCCUGGAAAGGGUUGUGUUGUCCCAAUGCUGCCCUGGAAAGGGGUGUGUUGUCCCAAUGCUGCCCUGGAAAGGGGUGUGUUGUCCCAAUGCUGCCCUGGAAAGGGGUGUGUUGUCCCAAUGCUGCCCUGGAAAGGGGUGUGUUGUCCCAAUGCUGCCCUGGAAAGGGUUGUGUUGUCCCAAUGCUGCCCUGGAAAGGGUUGUGUUGUCCCAAUGCUGCCCUGGAAAGGGUUGUGUUGUCCCAAUGCUGCCCUGGCCGUUUCUUUCGCCAGCCUCAGAGCCUGGCCAUAGUCCAGUCUGCAGUUGAAGGCCAUUUCCCAGAAUUCCUCAGUGAGCGUAUCAUCGUAGGGGUUGUGUUUAGCAGGUGACGCUGGAGGCCGAAUCCCAGAGUACCACCCAGCACUGAACUCACCUGGACACAGAAAACCCCACAUCAUCACACUAACAACACCCAACAAAUCAGGGAACACUGCUUUGAAUAUAAAACGGUCACUCUGCUGACUAAUUCUAUGGUACCUGUGACCCCAGGUUGAACCCUAACCCCUAGUUGACCCCCACCCCAGGCUGGUUGAGUGCGGAGGUGACCCAGGCCUCGCUGGCGAUCCAGGUGCGGUUGGUGACAUUGUGUUGGACCAGCUCCUGGAUCACAGGGCGCAGGUCCACUUCAGAGGAGAACAUCACAAUGACUCCACAGUACACUGGAUGUCCUCUGGAGAGCUCACCUGCACAGGAGAGACAUUGAGAGGCGUGUUGUAAUGAAAACCGGUCAUCUUGGGCAGGGUCUCAGAGAAGGAGAUGCAGACCUCAGCCUCCUCCACCUGUUCCUUGAAGGCCUUGAUGCCAUACUUCCCAUAGUCGUUGUCCGCGGCGAUGGUUCCCUCCCAGGUCCUGCUGAAGUGCAGCACCAGGCAGGUCAUUGACUGGUAGACAGCGUUAGGAAUUGUCAUCAAAGGGUGGGGAACUGAAACUUACUUUCCAACACAGAGCAGGACAACGAGGAACUCACCUAGAGACAAGGACAGAGGGAAGAGAGCAAAGGAGAGAGGGAAGAGAGCAAAGGAGAGAGGGAAGAGAGCAAAUGAGAGAGGGAAGAGAGCAAAGGAGAGAGGGAAGAGAGCAAAGGAGAGAGGGAAGAGAGCAAAGGAGAGGGGGAAGAGAGCAGAGGAGAGAGAGCAGAAGAGAGCAGAGGAGAGGGGGAGGAGAGAGCAGAGAAGAGAGAGAGAGGAGAGGGGGAAGAGAGAGAGAACAGAAGAGAGAGAAAGAGGAGAGGGGGAAGAGAGAGAGGAGAGAGAGCAGAGGAG